RNAcentral lists this ribosomal RNA (402 nucleotides) under uncultured Flavobacterium sp. RNAcentral's name for it is "bacterial SSU rRNA". It matches the Rfam family "Bacterial small subunit ribosomal RNA", at positions 1 to 409 of the family's 1533-position model. The record is from RNAcentral. Lineage: Bacteria; Pseudomonadati; Bacteroidota; Flavobacteriia; Flavobacteriales; Flavobacteriaceae.
CAUGGAGUUUGAUCCUGGCUCAGGAUGAACGCUAGCGGCAGGCUUAACACAUGCAAGUCGAGGGGUAUAGUUCUUCGGAGCUAGAGACCGGCGCACGGGUGCGUAACGCGUAUGCAAUCUACCUUUUACAGAGGGAUAGCCCAGAGAAAUUUGGAUUAAUACCUCAUAGUAUGUGAGAAUCGCAUGGUUUUCACAUUAAAGUUCCAACGGUAAAAGAUGAGCAUGCGUCCCAUUAGCUUGUUGGUAAGGUAACGGCUUACCAUGGCGACGAUGGGUAGGGGUCCUGAGAGGGAGAUCCCCCACACUGGUACUGAGACACGGACCAGACUCUACGGGGAGCAGCAGUGAGGAAUAUUGGACAAUGGGGCGAAAGCCUGAUCCCAGCAAUGCCGCGUGCAGGAA